UCCCUCUCCCACCUCACCAUCCCCCCUCCAUCCUACCCGCCUCCUUCCCUGCCCACCCGCUCCCCUGGUCAGCCAAUCGGUGAGCACAAGGAGAGAGACGGACAGAGGGGAGCAGUCCAUUCUAGCCAAUCCCCAUCCCUGAGGCCAGGGAAGGGCCUAUGAGGGACUAAAGUGGGCACCUGAUUGUGUUUCACUUCAUUGCAUUGGCUUGGAAGGAGAAGAACUGCCCGAGUCAUUUGGAGGUUGAAGGACAUCCCACCCUGUCACUCUGUAGAUGUAAAGAAUUUGUUGUGAACCUCCCGGCCACCAGGUUAAUCACCAUAUCCCAGGAUAUUAUUCAGGAGUGUGUAACAUCACAAUGUUAGAUAGAAAUAGAUUGAUCCAUGUUAUUGUUUAUCAUGCCGAUUUGUCAGGACUUUGUAACUUAUGAAGCUCAUUCUAAAAUACAGAUGUGAUUUCUGUCCCAAAGGAUUGAACUGUGUUCAAGUCUUCAAUUUAAACCACAAUUAGGUGUUAGUGAAGGGCUGGUACAAAAACCUGUAAACUCCUGUCAAAUAACAUGGCUGUCAUAACUACAUUUGCCCUCAUGUACUGAAGAAGUUUAUGAAUGUUGGAGGUUAAUCUCCUUGAGAUAUCCCUCACUUGGGAAUUAUUUUCUACAAUGGGCUGUGUUUUAAAGGACUCAUAUAUAUAUAUAUAUAUAAUAUACACACAUACAGGAAAACCAAUAAACAUUUGAACAUUUUUAUUCAAAAUGCCAAGUGUUGAUGUCUCCACGUGUUUCUGGUUCUGAGGCUGGGUCAUCUGGGGUCCAAAGGUCAUCUGGGGUCCGCAGGUCAUCUGGGGUCCGCAGGUCAUCUGGGGUCCGCAGGUCAUCUGGGGUCCGCAGGUCAUCUGGGGUCCGCAGGUCA
This is a long non-coding RNA of Salvelinus sp. IW2-2015, 911 nucleotides long. RefSeq lists it as uncharacterized. Lineage: Eukaryota; Metazoa; Chordata; Actinopteri; Salmoniformes; Salmonidae. The record is from RefSeq and is a predicted model, not a curated record.